CUUGUGGCAAAAAGUACUUAAGUUGGUAAACAGAAAUUUUAAACAUAACUUAUGUAAAUAUAUUUGUUUCAAAGUUACAGUUUAGUUUGUAAUAGUUUUAGUUUACUAUUAUUGUUUAAUUAUGUCACUGUGUACAUAUCUUGAAUGUACAGUUAAGUUUUGGUAUUGCGGGCUGCCAUAGAUUUAUUUAUAUGGGAGAUAAACUCAGGGUUUACUUGCGACAAAAUUGCGGGACAAAUAAUAUUGUGUAUUUUCACCAGUUUAGAGCCAAAAUAAGUCAUGGUU
RNAcentral lists this long non-coding RNA (285 nucleotides) under Mytilus galloprovincialis (Mediterranean mussel). The record is from RNAcentral. Lineage: Eukaryota; Metazoa; Mollusca; Bivalvia; Mytilida; Mytilidae.